Molecule: ribosomal RNA, 372 nt
Filed under: uncultured organism
Description: bacterial SSU rRNA
Rfam family: Bacterial small subunit ribosomal RNA
Source: RNAcentral
CGUAGGAGGCAAGCGUUAUCCGGAUUCACUGGGCGUAAAGCGCGUGCAGGUGGCGCGGUAAGUUGGGCGUGAAAUCUCCCGGCUCAACUGGGAGAGGUCGUUCAAUACUACCGUGCUUGAGAGCAGAAGAGGAAGAUGGAAUUCCCGGUGUAGUGGUGAAAUGCGUAGAUAUCGGGAGGAACACCAGUGGCGAAGGCGACCUUCUGGUCUGUUUCUGACACUCAGACGCGACAGCUAGGGUAGUAAACGGGAUUAGAGACCCCGGUAAUCCUAGCCGUAAACGAUGUGAACUUGGCGUUGGUGGGUUAAACUCCAUCAGUGCCGUAGCAAACGCGAUAAGUUCACCGCCUGGGGACUACGGCCGCAAGGUUA